This 253-nucleotide ribosomal RNA is filed under the name uncultured bacterium. RNAcentral's name for it is "partial 16S ribosomal RNA". It matches the Rfam family "Bacterial small subunit ribosomal RNA", at positions 524 to 776 of the family's 1533-position model. The record is from RNAcentral.
UACAGAGGGUGCAAGCGUUGUUCGGAAUUACUGGGCGUAAAGCGCACGUAGGCGGCUUUGUAAGUUAGAGGUGAAAGCCCGGGGCUCAACUCCGGAAUUGCCUUUAAGACUGCAUCGCUAGAAUUGUGGAGAGGUGAGUGGAAUUCCGAGUGUAGAGGUGAAAUUCGUAGAUAUUCGGAAGAACACCAGUGGCGAAGGCGACUCACUGGACACAUAUUGACGCUGAGGUGCGAAAGCGUGGGGAGCAAACAGG